RNAcentral lists this unclassified non-coding RNA (611 nucleotides) under Hevea brasiliensis (rubber tree). Lineage: Eukaryota; Viridiplantae; Streptophyta; Magnoliopsida; Malpighiales; Euphorbiaceae. The record is from RNAcentral.
GCCAAAUUCAUAAUCUGAGCCCGAUUAAUGAAUGGGAUGUGUGGGUGAUAAGGGGCUCACUUUUACUAUAUCACGGGAUGAUGUAAUUUCACUGAUUGCUUGGAGGAAAAAAUGAUUAGGUUUAUGAAAAGAACAAUAUAAUUCAGAAACUUGAAUAAUUUGUAACAUAUUAUACGUAUCAUUUAUAUUGCAUGCUAUACUUAUAUGAGAAGCUUGGAUGGCCUACAAAUAUGUCAUGAGUUACGUAAUCCGUAUAUUUUGAUUUUAUUGGUUCUAAUAUCGGUCAGUUUCUGCAAAUACACUUCCUUGUGGAAACAGUUAUGUUAUUUUGUGCAGCACAAGUCGUUUAAUCCUAUGUCUUGGCAUUGCUAAUGGAAGGCUGUUGAAGCAGUAGGGAAAGAGUUUUUAGCAUUGCACAUGAGAGAUUUGGCAUGCUUUGCUGUAGAUUUCAUAUUGAAACUCGGAAUUUCAAACAAAAUCAAAGGGUCCUAGGACUAAAGCAUUUCUUCGAGUCCUAAAAUAUUCCACUGGAGGAGUCCUUGAGCCUGCAAAGUUAUACAAGCUGAAGCAUCUUUCAAAGGUGGAGGUUAUAACUAAUGAUCCUAGUGGAU